GGUAUUACCAGCAAAUAUAGAACAUGAUCAGGAGACAUCUUCACAAAUGCCAAAGUGCUUCAUUGUUGUAUGAAUUAUCAAGUAUCUAGUGCUAGAUGCUAAUAUCUUAGUUAUGUCAGAUUGUUGAAGCUGCAUGUUGAAUUCUAAUCUUGAAGGCUUUAGAACCUGAGCCCUCCUUCCACCAACAAAUCCAUCUCACCAUUUAGCAUUCUUGCCAGACAUUGCAUCAAGCCUUGUGUCACCCCAUUUGCACACGAGCCAUGUCCACUAGUGCAGGGUGACAGUUGCAUUGCCUUAGCAUCGAAAAUGGUAAGAAGGCAAGCUUUAUUUCUAGGUGACUCGGAGCUACAGCAACUGCUUCACAUCUUCAAGUACUUGUUGAAUAUUGAGUUGCAAAUUUUACUUUUGAAAAUGAUGCUGAAUGAGAUUAACUUUACUUAUGAACUUUCUUGUUGGUCAUGUUA
This is a long non-coding RNA of Magnolia sinica, 464 nucleotides long. RefSeq lists it as uncharacterized. The record is from RefSeq and is a predicted model, not a curated record. The transcript is spliced from 4 exons. Lineage: Eukaryota; Viridiplantae; Streptophyta; Magnoliopsida; Magnoliales; Magnoliaceae.